This 301-nucleotide ribosomal RNA is filed under the name uncultured bacterium. Its description in RNAcentral is "partial 16S ribosomal RNA". It matches the Rfam family "Bacterial small subunit ribosomal RNA", at positions 509 to 807 of the family's 1533-position model. The record is from RNAcentral.
CAGCAGCCGCGGUAAUACGUAGGGUGCGAGCGUUAAUCGGAAUUACUGGGCGUAAAGCGUGCGCAGGCGGUUAUAUAAGACAGAUGUGAAAUCCCCGGGCUCAACCUGGGACCUGCAUUUGUGACUGUAUAGCUAGAGUACGGUAGAGGGGGAUGGAAUUCCGCGUGUAGCAGUGAAAUGCGUAGAUAUGCGGAGGAACACCGAUGGCGAAGGCAAUCCCCUGGACCUGUACUGACGCUCAUGCACGAAAGCGUGGGGAGCAAACAGGAUUAGAUACCCGUGUAGUCCCUGUCUCUUAUAC